UCACUCCUACGGGGGGCAACAGUGGGGAAUAUUGCACAAUGGGGGAAACCCUGAUGCAGCGACGCCGCGUGAGUGAAGAAGUAUUUCGGUAUGUAAAGCUCUGUCAGCAGGGAAGAAAAUGACGGUACCUGACCAAGAAGCCCCGGCUAACUACGUGCCAGCAGCCGCGGUAAUACGUAGGGGGCAAGCGUUAUCCGGAUUUACUGGGUGCAAAGGGAGCGUAGACGGCAGGGCAAGUCUGGAGUGAAAGGCGGGGGCUCAACCCCCGGACUGCUCUGGAACCUGCCAGGCU
Molecule: ribosomal RNA, 292 nt
Filed under: uncultured bacterium
Lineage: Bacteria
Description: partial 16S ribosomal RNA
Rfam family: Bacterial small subunit ribosomal RNA
Source: RNAcentral